This 511-nucleotide long non-coding RNA is filed under the name Nicotiana benthamiana. RNAcentral describes it as "long non-coding RNA (NBEN_LNC020657)". Lineage: Eukaryota; Viridiplantae; Streptophyta; Magnoliopsida; Solanales; Solanaceae. The record is from RNAcentral.
CUGAGUAGGGGUGUAGAUAUUGUUGUUGCCACUCCUGGUCAUUUGAACGACAUCUUGGAGAUAAGAAGAGUUAGCCUUGGUCAAGUUUCUUACUUGGUGUUAGAUGAAGCGGAUCAUAUGCUAGACAUGGGAUUUGAACCUCAUAUAAGGAAGAUUGUGAAGGAGGUGCCUUUGCAGAGGCAAACAUUGAUGUAUACAGCUACAUGGCCGAAGGGGGUUCGUAAGAAUUUGAACGACAUCUUGGAGAUGAGAAGAGUUAGCCUUGGUCAAGUUUCUUAAUUGGUGUUAGAUGAAGCGGAUCGUAUGUUGGACAUAGGAUUUGAACCUCAGAUAAGGAAGAUUAUGAAGGAGGUGCCUGUGCAGAGGCAAACAUUGAUGUAUACAGCUACAUGGCCGAAGGGGGUUCGUAAGAUUGUAGUAGAAUCUGUAUUAUAUAUGCCUAAGCAUAAAAGCUGAACCUGGUGUGGUUACAAUUAAGUCAAGAAGUUGUCGCUUGCAGCACAUUGAAGUC